RNAcentral lists this ribosomal RNA (433 nucleotides) under uncultured bacterium. RNAcentral's name for it is "partial 16S ribosomal RNA". It matches the Rfam family "Bacterial small subunit ribosomal RNA", at positions 29 to 507 of the family's 1533-position model. The record is from RNAcentral.
AACGAACGCUGGCGGCAUGCCUAACACAUGCAAGUCGAACGAGACCUUCGGGUCUAGUGGCGCACGGGUGCGUAACGCGUGGGAACCUGCCCUUAGGCUCGGAAUAACUCCCCGAAAGGGGUGCUAAUACCGGAUAAUGUCUUCGGACCAAAGAUUUAUCGCCUUUGGAUGGGCCCGCGUUGGAUUAGCUAGUUGGUAGGGUAAAAGCCUACCAAGGCGACGAUCCAUAGCUGGUCUGAGAGGAUGAUCAGCCACACUGGGACUGAGACACGGCCCAGACUCCUACGGGAGGCAGCAGUGGGGAAUAUUGGACAAUGGGCGAAAGCCUGAUCCAGCAAUGCCGCGUGAGUGAUGAAGGCCUUAGGGUUGUAAAGCUCUUUUACCCGGGAUGAUAAUGACAGUACCGGGAGAAUAAGCGCCGGCUAACUCCGUG